UACGGAAGGGGCUAGCGUUGUUCGGAAUCACUGGGCGUAAAGCGCGCGUAGGCGGCCGGUCAAGUGCGGCGUGAAAGUCCUGGGCUCAACCUGGGGACGGCGCUGCGGACUGUUCGGCUGGAGUCCGGAAGAGGGUGGUGGAAUUCCGAGUGUAGAGGUGAAAUUCGUAGAUAUUCGGAGGAACACCGGUGGCGAAGGCGGCCACCUGGUCCGGUUACUGACGCUGAAGCGCGAAAGCGUGGGGAGCAAA
RNAcentral lists this ribosomal RNA (250 nucleotides) under uncultured bacterium. RNAcentral's name for it is "partial 16S ribosomal RNA". It matches the Rfam family "Bacterial small subunit ribosomal RNA", at positions 524 to 772 of the family's 1533-position model. The record is from RNAcentral.